Molecule: RNase P RNA, 324 nt
Filed under: human gut metagenome
Also listed under: 1 other name
Description: Bacterial RNase P class A
Rfam family: Bacterial RNase P class A
About the family: Ribonuclease P (RNase P) is a ubiquitous endoribonuclease, found in archaea, bacteria and eukarya as well as chloroplasts and mitochondria.
Source: RNAcentral
GGCGGUCGCUUUGCGAAAGCAAAGAGGAAAGUCCGGACUCCGCAGGGCAGGGAGUCCUCCAUAAAACGAGGAUGUCAUGGACCAUAUUCCAUGAGAAGGAAAGCGCAGCAGAAAACAAACCGCCGGAGCAAUCCGGCAAGGGUGAAAAGGCGGGGUAAGAGCCCGCCGCGGUUUCAAGAGAUUGAGCCGGCAGUGCAAGCCCCUCCCGGAGCAAGGCCAAAUAGGGAAUGAGUCGCUGCCCGCGACGCUUGAAUUCCGGGUUCUGGCCGCAUAGACAGAUGAUCGCCCCCCGCAAGGGGACAGAAUCCGGCUUAUGCCGCAUCU